GAUUGCUGUUUAUUCUAUUUC
Molecule: microRNA, 21 nt
Filed under: Ananas comosus (pineapple)
Lineage: Eukaryota; Viridiplantae; Streptophyta; Magnoliopsida; Poales; Bromeliaceae
Description: microRNA s0509_c67a
Source: RNAcentral